UUUAAUUAUAUAUUUGUACCUAAACAGUACAACAUAUCUAUAUUGAUGUACAAUUAUAAGCGCUCUAUUCUUUAAUAAAAGAAACUACUACACAUGUAGUUUUUGCUAGAAAAUUUUACAUUUUGAGUAGUGGAUGAGGUUAGUGCACACCACGGGCGGGCCCAGACCUAGGGCCAGCAGGGCCAUAGCUCUAGUCGUGGCCUAGAAAUUUCAGCAGCAACUCUUCAUUUUGGUCCAAGAAAGAAGCCCGUUAAAGAGAAAACUACGGAAGAGAAAGCGCUGCACUCGGCCACCGAUCCUUGCGCGGCCACCGUCCACGCCGCCGCAAGCAGCACGCCUUGCGCCCGCGCCCGCGCCCUCGCCUGUUGCCCCAGCUCCGCUGCUCUGGCCUCCGUGCCCUGGCCACCAGGAUGGCUGGCCGCCCCUGCCUCUCCUGCCGUGUCCCCUGCUCGGCUGCUCGCUCGUCGACCGGACGAUCGCCCAGCUGCCAGCGCCCACACACGCUCGGAGUCAGAGGCCAGACUAGGGGCCUAGAGUGGCAGCCGGUAGAGCCCCAACCCCUAGACACGUCCGCCUGCCACCCAGGAGGCCAGGACUGCUGCCGCCUGUGGCCUGUCCGCAUCCGCCAGGGGCAAAGGAGCCGAGAGCACCCUGUCCAGAAGCCGUGAUUCAACGUGAAGUGAAGCUGUGAAGAGGACAAGGACUAUUGUAUCGUAUUUCUCUUGAGUUGGUGAACUAGAACAAUGAAUCAUCCAUCCUCCAUUGUCAGAUCUAGAUCCAGAUCGAGAGUAAGAGCAAGCAGGAACAGGAAGCAUCAAUCAUCCUCCGGCAUCAUCUUAAGGUGCAGGAGCUAUUAUAUCAUACUAUUAAUUAUUGUUCAAGAAUUUCUUUGAAUUUGCCAAUUUUGCUUGAGAAUUUUUAUUUUCUAUAAAAUAUGUGUGUGUGUAUAUAUAGUCCUAUAAACUAUACUAUAGGCUAUAGCGUUUUGAUUUUA
Long non-coding RNA from Sorghum bicolor (sorghum), 994 nucleotides. RefSeq lists it as uncharacterized. The record is from RefSeq and is a predicted model, not a curated record. The transcript is spliced from 2 exons. NCBI's taxonomy places the organism in Eukaryota, Viridiplantae, Streptophyta, Magnoliopsida, Poales, Poaceae.